GCUUGUGCUGAGGGUCUGUUUUCUAAGCUACACACUGGCGACUUGUUCCUUACUCUUCUGUCUAGGGGAAAGUCCCCGGACCUACGUCAGAGAGUACCAUGUGGCUACACAAAUUGACAUUCCCAUUUGCCAUAUAAAGUCUACAGGAAGCUAAUAGGCAUAGCAGGAGCAGCAUGGUGAAAAAGGGGCGUCCCCUUCAGCUCUUCUAGUUACACAGGCAGUGCACCUUCCCACAUGCACCAGCCACACAGGGCUUGUUCUCAGUGUGGC
This is a ribozyme of Pongo abelii (Sumatran orangutan), 270 nucleotides long. It matches the Rfam family "RNase MRP". From Rfam's summary of the family: RNase MRP is an enzymatically active ribonucleoprotein with two distinct roles in eukaryotes. In mitochondria it plays a direct role in the initiation of mitochondrial DNA replication. The record is from Ensembl. Lineage: Eukaryota; Metazoa; Chordata; Mammalia; Primates; Hominidae.